CUGUACCUGGCCUCUUCUUAAGUCUUGAUGGUGUCCCUGGAUCUGGGCAGGAGUCAUUGCCUGUUGACCCUGCAGCCAGCAGUGACCUCUUCCUAUUUUGAGUCAUCUCUCUGCUCUUAGAUCUGGCUCUUCUGUGAGUGUCUGGGUCUCCAUGGACAGCAAGCUCCAUGAGGCAGGGUCCCUGGAAGAGGCACUGACCAUCCUUUUGGACACAGCUCGGAGCCAAUAAUAAGAGGCUGAGUGAAUAAGUGAAUGAGUAAUGACUGACAUUUUGCUUGUGCUAUGACAGGUGCAGUUUAGGAGUAGCUCCCUUCUGGGAGCUGGGUAGGGAUCUGGGUCCCUAGGUUUCUGGGCUUUGGGGAGGGUAAGACGUUUAAGGGGUUUAGUUUCUAAUAACCAGAAUCCAGGAUGGAGGCUUGGAGGAGGGCCAAGGGCUAGGUUUCUGGCAGCACAAGGUAAAAACUCUGUGUUUAUACAGAUGACUGGGAUAGAGAGUAUGGGGGACCUUGUGGGUGAGGAGGGCUUAGCAGAGUGAACAGGGCAGAAGCUUAGAGUCUUCAAGUGCUAUUGAGGCAGAAGGGGGCAGCUCAGGAUAACUCCAAAGGCUUCAGUGAACACAGGGUACUCACACAACUUUUGGGUCUGGAGACUGGAGGACUGUGUGUGUGUGUGUGUGUGUGUGUGUGUGUGUGUCUCAUAACAGCUCUGAACUUUGGAGAAAUGCAUGAAGGUUCUGGGCCUGGAACCCCAGGAGGUAUUUGUGGGGGUCUUUGGGAGAUGCUGUGAGAACUCAGAGGAGAGGGGAUGGUCCCACAAGGUGAGGAGGUGCCUUGGGGUGCCUGGAGUUCCAGUUAGGGCAGAUAGGGCCUCUGGGAGGGCAGAUGCCGGGACCUCUGGGAUGUUGGGGGAAGAGGCAUUCCUUCGAGCCCUAUCUUCCCAGCACUAAUUGGAGUGACUGGCCAGGGAAAGGCUGGGCUUGGGGCUUUUCCCCCUUCAGUUGGGAUAUAGGAGAAUUUCCUCCUUAGCAACUCUGCAACUACAGAAAGCAACUCACAGAACACAUGUGAAACCACGUAUACCCAACCGCUAAGGCCGGCAAAGAUAACUGGGGGAACCCACCCUGAGCUCACCUUGGCCUUCCCCUCAGCCAUUCACCUGCAAUGUGGAAGACCUAACACAAGAAAUGGAUGAACAGGCACCUGCCUUAUGGGGCAUGCGGCUGAACUCACUGGGGUGGGAGAGGGACCGCUGGUAAGGGCAAGCUCAGGGCCUGGUAGAGCUGGACCUCAGGGAGGGUCUGAGAAGUGGUUUUUUUCUCCCCUGAGAUAAAGAAGUGAGUGCUCAGAGCCCUGAUCUCAGUCCUGGAGGGGCUCACAGCUCCGUAAGGAAGACAUAUGGGAGGUUGGGAAUAAGGUGAGCCAGUAAAGGCAAUGAGAGCAGAUUUGUGAGUGUGUGUGUGUCAGAGCAAGUGUGCAUCUGUGUGUGUGUAUAAGUGUGCACCUUUGUGUGUAUAAGAGUGCAUUCCUCAGUGUGGAAUUACUAAGAGUAAGUGUAUGUCUCUGUGCAGCUCUGUGUGUGUGUAAGAGAAAGUGUGCACUCUCAUAUACUCUGUGUAGAGGAGUAUGUGUGUACUUUGCAGUGUGUGUCAGAGUCAGUGUACACCUACUCGCCUGCCCAUGUGCACGUGUGUGUAUCCUAGGUGGGAAUAAGGAAGCUGUGAAGGAAGAUUUAGUGCAGAGUACUUGUUUGUGUAUUUGAGGGUUUUUGUGAUGCACAAACGUGCAUAAAGUGUCUGUGAAUGUGUCUGGGGCACUUGGGGUGUGUGUGUGUGUGUGUGUGUGUGUGUAUGCAUAUAGGCCUCUGCUGCAUGCUCCAAGGGCAAUGUGAGUUGUGCUUCUUUGGUGUGAAGGGGGAGACCUGAGUAGGGAAGGAGUGUGAGUGUGUGUGUGUGUGCAUGCGUGUGUGUGUGAGAGAGAGAGCGUGCGUGAGCAUGCCGAGUGGCAGGAAUGACAAAUGAUUAAUCUAUAGAAAUCUAUAUUCUAUUCUUCCAUGCGUCCACUCCGCCCUUCUCACGCGCCCAUGCAUCACCUCCGGAAAUCUAUCACCCGACUCCCAGCCAAGGACAGGCUGCGAGGAGCGAGUGACUGCCUUAUUGAUGAACUUGCCUGGUACUUUUUACACAUUUGGAUACGUGGAGAAGGAAAGCUCACUCUGGCUGUGUCGUUCAUGCUCUUACUAUUCAUUCAUUCAUUCAGUAAUUCAUCCAGCAAAUAGUUCUGGAGCGCCUACUGUGUGCCAGGAAUGGUCCUGGGUGCUCAGGGCAUGAUGAUGAAUAAGGCAUUUCUGGCAUUAAGGGCCAGUGUGGGUCCCAGACAGCACAUAGGCCACUUUGGUAGAAUGUGCAGGGGGCUCUGGAAUAAUACAGGGGGUUUGGAAAUUAACCUUGGGGCAGGGGCGGUUCACAGAGGCUCCUGAGGGAGGUGACAUGUACGGGAGCUCUGAAGGGUGAUACAACCGAAGGGGAGGGAGAGGAGAGGGUGCACCAGGCAAAGAGAUUAGCAACUGCAAAGGCCCAGAAGCAAAGAGAACUUGCCUCUUGGGGAAAGCUUAGAGUGAGUCAGAUGGCUUGGAGUGUGAGGAAGAAGUAGUAAGAGAUGAUGCUACAGAGGUGGCUGGUGACUGAGGGAUGUUGAGUGCCCUGUGAAGGAAGCUGGAUUUCAUCCCAAGGGGAGCCAUUGAAGGGUCUAAGCAGGUGUCACAUGGUGUUGCAUUUUAGAAAGUGACCUCUGGCUGAUGGUGGGGAGGGUGGACAGGAGGCAGGGAGGCCAGUUGUUAGGAGGCUGUCGUGGCAGUUCCAGGGAGGGAUAGUGGUGGCUUGGAUUCCAGGGGUGGCAAUGGGAGUGGAGAGAUGUGGCAGAGCCCAGAGGUAUUUUGGAAGUGGGACUAAGGGCUUGGCGACGGAGGGGUGUUGGCAUGACAGAGUGGUAAGCAUGACCCUAGGUUUUGGGGCAAGUCACUCGACCUUGCUGAGCCUCCAUUUCCCCAUCUCUAAAAUGGGGAGAACAAUUCCUGCUUCUUAGGGUUGCUGUGAGGCCAUUUGGUUGACACUCAAUGGACCACCUUGGAACAGAAUGUCUACUCUUCCCCUCCCAUCACAUGCACCAACUCCAGGUCUGCUCUUCUCCAGAAAGGUUUGGGCUGAUCUACCUCCCAGUGACUGUUUCUUAAACCACACUCUGGGCAACCCCUGGACUGUGGUGCCAGUCCCAAAAGCCCGCUGCUUUGAACCCCUGAGGGAGACUUGGAGGUUGUCCAAGCCAGCUUCCUGUUCCAAGAUGGGCAACCAGGCACUCAAGAGAAGGAGAGGACCUUCUCAAGGUCACCCAGUGGGCCAUUUAAACUUGCUGGUGUUCAAGAAACCACAGGCCAUCCUCAGGCAGGCUGACCCCCUAAAGGUCAUCAUGUCCCACCUCCUGCCGUCAGACCCGAAGUAUCUCCAACCAGCAGGCGGCCUGCCUGUUCUUGGAGGUUGCUAGGGAGCUGAGCUUCCUUGGCCGAGGCAUGUGGUUCCUGGCUGCCCUCAGGGAAAGGGCACUGGCCAGAGUCCCAAAGAGGCUCCCAGAGUGGCUCAUUUUUCAGCUCGUCCUUGUGGGGUGCGAGGAGACGUCCAGACACGAGUGUUUACUUCAACUCCCAGGGCAGCCAGACAACUUCUGAUCUUGGAAGCCUCCUCACUUCAAUCUACUGCUUCUGUACAUUUGGAUAAUGUUCCAUUUUGCAAAACAACAAGUUCUCUGUAGACGCAGGCAGAGCUGACAGUUAUCACAGCAAAAGCAUUAUUUUGUUUCUCUUUCCUCCCCCUCCCUCGCUCCCUCCUGAGCGAGUGUGCAUGAUGGUAUUAGAAUACUGCAGUGCAAAGGCGUCUGUUCGUCUCUUCGGAGUGUGGCAUGAGAGGCGCUGCCACGUGGGGGGCCACGGGAGGGCGUCUUGGCCAGCAUUCCCGCCUGGGCCUUUGAUGCACUGCUGCAUUUGCGGAAGAAAUGACACUGGUGACAAAAGCGGACCCAGUUCUUCUUGGGAAGAGCUGAAAAGUGCCAAGGAGAAGGCCCUGAACACUUAGAAUAUUUUCAAAUUAAGUGACAGCGGGCACAACACGAUGGGGGAGACGGCUUGCGUUUCUUUGGAGCAUUCAGUCACAAUUCAUCAUUAUCCAAUUUUUUUUCCCCUUGGGUUUUCUCUCUCACACAUUUUUUAUCCCAAUCUGACAGCUAAAUGAGGAAUCACACUGCCUACGUUAUGCGUUUUGUUCAGGAAUUAACCCGUCGUCAAACACGCGCUGCCAAGUGGUUGGUGUGAGUGGAGAGUGACUGCACCGGCCCCAGAUGGCCCGUGUCACACGGGGCCCAUCCAGCUGGCCAUCCUGAGGAUGUGCUUGGAAAAGGUGGCCAGCAGGAGACACACCAGCUUCUUGAGAGCUCCAACGUGGAGCUCUGCGUGUCCCCGAGCUCUGGUCACAGACUUCUUGGCCAGAAGAACUCUCCGGGUGCCUUGGCCUGAUCCUUUGUCAAGUUCAUGGUGUCAUCACAUGUGAGGUCAUUCUGCCCCUCCAUCUGCCUCUGGCAGCCUUGAGAAGAGAGGCAUCAACCCCUGACCUCUAUGAAGGGGUUAAUUCAGCUAAGCUGAUAGCUCUCCUUUUGGGAAAUCCUUGAAAUACUUGACUCUUACCUACUGCAGUGGGUCUACUUGCUUUACCUUCUCAGCACGUUUCUGGGUACCAACUCAAACUUCAGCUCAGAGCAAGGCGGAAGUGAGGGAUCUUUGGGGGUGCGUUUGGUCUUUCAAAAAUGGACAAGUUUCUUCCCUUCUCCCUUGUUCUUUCCUUCUCCCCUGAUUUCUUUUCUUCCCAACUUCACCUUCUUUCCUUCCCUCCUUUCCUUUCCCCCUCCUGUCCUUUCUCCUCUCCUCCUUCUUUCCUCCUCCCUAGUUUUUCUUUCUACGCCAGUGAUGAAUAAGAUCCUGCGGUGGAUAAGGCAGACCCGGUCUUUGCAAUCAGAUAGUUGCCAGGGGGGUGAGUUCUCAGAAGGUGAGGCAUAGGGCACUCCCUGACUGUGUGUUGGGGAGCCCCUGCUGAAGACAGCUGCAGGAAGCUAGGUGAUGAGCAGGCAAGGCUUGGAGAUGUGGGGAAACCCAGGCAGGGGCACGCUCUCCAGGACCUCGGCUCUGCUAGCAGGCACACCUCACCCAUAGACUGUUAGUUGAGUGAGAGACGAACCAUACCUGGCUUUGUUCAUCCACGUAGCCCAGCUCCUAGUGCAGACCAGGUGGAGAUGCUCAGUAGGCACACUACGCUUGAGGUCAAUGAAGAGACAGGAGAGUGGUGGUGGCCAUGAGCUGUGGUACUGGCCACACCCAACAUCCCCAGGUUCCUUGGUGGCUGGCAAUUUCCAGCCAAUAACUGGUGAUCCCAAACUCUCGUUGCCUAUAGAUGUCACCUUGAAUGACCUCCAGCUUGUGUUGAGGAGGGGAAGAUUAUUUUAUGCUGGAGAGAGGGCAGUCCAAACAGCUAAAAGCACAGGUCCUGAGCCAUGUGGUGUGGCUCAAGUCCAGGUUCUGCUACUUCCUGUUUGUGAGGCUUUGGCAAGACCUGUAAUCCCACUGAGCCUCAGUUUUCUCCUCUGUAAAAUGCAGAUGAUGAGAAGAGGCUCUGUCUCUCAGGGAUGAGACGAGGAUUAAAUGAGAUGAUGUGUGGUUGGUUUGACACACGCCUACCGUUUUACACCUAUUUUAACAGGGGUGCUGAGAAAUUUUCCCCAGCCUCCUCUCUCUCGCUCUGGGCCCCAGGGUGUUCUUGCCCUUGUCCUUCUCUGGCCAGCACAAUGAUCUACCUGUCCACGUGUUCUCUCCUUCCUUCCAGCUUGGCUAGGUGGGGAUGCUGGCGAAGAAGCAGAUGGCAGCCGAGACUGAGUGUGACGGUGAUGACACUGUGAAAGGGUGAUAAUUUAUUCUGUUCAGCCUUGACUCGGAGUUGGAAGGAGAAAUCUAUUACUUCUGAAAGGCAAGGCUGAGGGCGACCUCCCUUUCUGACCUCUAACAGGUAGCGGGCCCUGGGUCUCCUGGCUCCUGGAGAACAGGCCUGGAAGGCCCCCCAGGGGCCCAUCCCUGAGCAGGGACUUACAGCAGGGAUUGGGAAGUGAGGAGCAGGCUGCAGGUUCAGCCCCAGAGAGAGGCGGCUGGGAGGCAGCAGGGCUCUGGCCCCAUUCGGCAGGGAUGCCAGGUGCAGGAGCAGUACUCUCAGUGUCUCUCUGCCUUGGCCCAGGCACUGGGUUGGGCCCGGCCUGCACGUGGGUCUUUUUCUCUUUCAUCCACUCAUCUUUCUUGUGAGUGGCGGAUGUCUUCCAAGCAGUGGGGAGAAAGAUGUAAAACUAAUCCCCACUCUAAUAAAAACAGUCUCCCGAUUAAAUAUGUAUGAACACAUAUUGAUUUGGGGAUUAAACAGAAAAGAAAAUUGAGCCUGUAAUUGAGCCAGGGAACAUGUAUGGGGUGAGACUUGGGAUGUGCUUCUCCAAACACACCUGCUGGGGCUGGGCUGGGGUUGCCCGGGCGUAGGAAAGGUGCUGGGAAGCCUCCAGCACCCACUGGGUGCUCCUCUGCAUGAGGGGCCUGGCCAGCCACUGCCUGCUUUUGGAGGAGCCUCUGCCCUUACUUUUCCUAAUUUGGGGAAAUUCCCAACAUUCCAAAGGAAUCUGGAGGAAUGGGAGGGCUGUACUAUUCCCACAGAUAUCUGAGUUUGAAUCUUUAGCUGGUGGGCAGCCGAAGGGGCAGGCUUCCAUCCUGUCUUAAGGAAACAUGGAUUGUUGCUCACCUGCUACAUGCGGGUCCUGAUGAAAUGGAAGAAGCUGAGCCAGGAUUCCGCCUACAAUAUUUGGACUCUAAAUCUAAGGUUGUGUUUACUAUAGGCCAGGGCUGGGCGGUCCAGUGACAUCAGAACCUGCAGUCAUAGGAUUGUGCAUCCUCCAAGCUGCAAGGGCUUUGGCCUUGAAUUCAGCGUGUUGCCUGAAAUGUGUCACCUUCCUUCACUAACAAAAGGAAGCUGGGAGGUGUAGGAUGGAACCAAAGCCUAUCUUCCUACCAUGCCUAUCUGUAGGCUCCACACCUGUCCUUGGUCAGAAAAAGAAAGGAAGGGGAGAAUAGAUUGUUGAGCGCCUGCUGUGCAUAAGGCCCUGUGCUUGGUAGUCUCAGGUAGACUACGACCUUUUAGCAUUCUGAGAAUAGUGUGACAUAGAUCUGAUUAUUUUCACUUUAUAGUGUAGGAAGUAGACUCAGAGAUAUUUGCUAAUCAUCAUAGUCCCCAUCACGAUAACGAUGGAAAUCAUUUAUUGAGCACCUGCUGUAUGUCAGGCACUUUACACCCAUUAUUGCCAAUCCCCACCAUGACCCUGUAAAGUAGAUCUAUUACCUCCAUGGUACAGAGAGGAAACCAAGGCUCAGAGCGCAAGAGAUGUGGCCAUUUCAGUGCACAGCCCAGUCACAGCUUGCCUGACCCUGGCCACUUCUUGCAUGGUCCUGGAGGAGUGUGGUUAACUCCCCAGUUUGCCCCUGCCCCAGCCCUGUGUGGUCCAGCCAGAGUGCCUCUCUCUCCCCAAGCUGAGCUCCUGCCUCACAGAUCUCUGCAUGCUUCUCCCCCAGGAAUGUGCAGGCGCCCAUUCAUCAUUUCCCAGCCCACACCCUCUCCCCCUGUUCUUCCCUGAUGCUCCCUAGUCCCUGCCAUGAUGUUUGCUGGAAUCUGACUUUUCCCGCAGGCCCACUUAUCCUCAACGUACACCAAACUUUACAAUUGCCAGAGCAUUUGCACAUUUGUUAUCUCAUUCAAGGUUCACAAUAACCUCAUAUCCUGUAUGACAGAUGAAGAAUUUGAGGCACAGAAAAGUCAGGCAAUUUACCUCAACUCACUGAGCUAAUGAGUAACAAUGGCAGGUCUGUCUUCCCAGGUGAGAUGGCACUUGUCCCCAGAACAGGUGCCUUUGCAGGACCCACGAAGACACAAUGACCCUACGCGAUGAGCUUCUCUUGAACACUUCUCUGGGUCUGGAGCCAGAACCCAUACCAGGAUACCUUUUAGAAGUGCCCCCAGGACUCAAGGUUUGCCCACAUGGCUAAUUGUCAGAGAAACACCUGGCAAGCCUGCUGUAUAUCUCCUUUGGUGUGGCCCUGGGAGAAAAGGAGAAAGGCAUCAGAUAUGAACUGGAGAAAUUGGAGUGCCUGGUAUCCCACGGCAGUGCCCAGCUCAUCAAGACCCAUGGGGAGUGCUGAGAGCUCACACACUCCCAGCUGCAGCCGUUUCUGCCCUGUGGUUAUUAAAGCAAUGACUUAAUUUUAA
Molecule: long non-coding RNA, 8377 nt
Organism: Chlorocebus sabaeus (green monkey)
Lineage: Eukaryota; Metazoa; Chordata; Mammalia; Primates; Cercopithecidae
Source: RefSeq, a predicted model, not a curated record